Molecule: ribosomal RNA, 497 nt
Filed under: uncultured bacterium
Lineage: Bacteria
Description: partial 16S ribosomal RNA
Rfam family: Bacterial small subunit ribosomal RNA
Source: RNAcentral
GAUGAACGCUGGCGGCGUGCCUAAUACAUGCAAGUCGAGCGAACGGACGAGAAGCUUGCUUUUCUGAUGUUAGCGGCGGACGGGUGAGUAACACGUGGAUAACCUACCUAUAAGACUGGGAUAACUUCGGGAAACCGGAGCUAAUACCGGAUAAUAUUUUGAACCGCAUGGUUCAAAAGUGAAAGACGGUCUUGCUGUCACUUAUAGAUGGAUCCGCGCUGCAUUAGCUAGUUGGUAAGGUAACGGCUUACCAAGGCAACGAUGCAUAGCCGACCUGAGAGGGUGAUCGGCCACACUGGAACUGAGACACGGUCCAGACCCCUACGGGAGGCAGCAGUAGGGAAUCUUCCGCAAUGGGCGAAAGCCUGACGCAGCAACGCCGCGUGAGUGAUGAAGGUCUUCGGAUCGUAAAACUCUGUUAUUAGGGAAGAACAUAUGUGUAAGUAACUGUCGCCAUCUUGACGGUACCUAAUCAGAAAGCCACGGCUAACUACGUG